UACGGGGGGGGUAAGCGUUGUUCGGAAUUACUGGGCGUAAAGGGCUCGUAGGCGGCCAACUAAGUCAUACGUGAAAUCCCUCGGCUUAACCGGGGAACUGCGUCUGAUACUGGAUGGCUUGAGAUUGGGAGAGGGAUGCGGAAUUCCAGGUGUAGCGGUGAAAUGCGUAGAUAUCUGGAGGAACACCGGUGGCGAAGGCGGCAUCCUGGACCAACACUGACGCUGAGGAGCGAAAGCCAGGGGAGCAAACGGG
Molecule: ribosomal RNA, 253 nt
Filed under: uncultured bacterium
Lineage: Bacteria
Description: partial 16S ribosomal RNA
Rfam family: Bacterial small subunit ribosomal RNA
Source: RNAcentral